This is a long non-coding RNA of Haliotis rufescens (red abalone), 1167 nucleotides long. RefSeq lists it as uncharacterized. The record is from RefSeq and is a predicted model, not a curated record. NCBI's taxonomy places the organism in Eukaryota, Metazoa, Mollusca, Gastropoda, Lepetellida, Haliotidae. The transcript has 3 exons.
CUACUCCGGAUCUUCACGGUUCUAAAACAACGGAGACCCUAUUGUGUCACGACUACAGUUCAACCAAUGAGAGGCUAGCUACUAUCACAAGCACUCACCUGUUGGGGUCUCGUACUUACAACCUCUGUGUUGUAAACAAAUAUGACAGCUUACAUGUCAAUGUAUGGCAUUUAUGAUACAUAUAUCCAUUCUCAGACUACUAAGGUUCGUUAUAAGACAUCAAUAGCGGUAAUCGUAUCUUGGUGGCUGUAAAUAACAAUGAGUUGGUGCGACAGUCGAUUUUGACAAAUUUAUGUCAACAAGGAUAUUACAAUACAUAAUCCAGAUAUACAAAGAAUACUUAUAUAUGAAACUGGUGUGAAUUUAAUCCCUAUUUCAGUACCCGUCGGCAUAAUAUUCUACCCAGAAGGCGGGAUUUGUCUCUAUAUUAUUCUACCAAGUAGGCGGGACCUGACCGUAUGUCAUUCUACCCAGACAAAGUUGGGGUCUCGAACUUACAACCUCUGUGUUGCAUCAUACUUUGUAAUGUCCGGAUGAAAAACAAGAGGCAGUCAUCUGUGCAGCAUCAAUGCAAAGAAAGACCAUAGAAGAGAAGCAAUGAGGAACAAGAGAAGAGCAACAAAACUGAAGUCCUGCUUGAGAACCCUGGAUGAGUACUCCAGGUGGACAAUCUGGAAGGACCAGACAAGGGAGUCAGAUAUCAGAGGUGAUUUGCAGACAGCGAUGACGAGGGUCCUGUGUUUCAAUGGAGGCCGACCGAGAAGUUGUAUGCCAAAUGGUACUGGGACACACAAAGCCUGGUCUGGCUAAUGUGAGAAGACCAAUCAAUGCCAAGCUGGAGUGGGAUCCUUCCAGGACAUUCAAGAAAUUCUUGUCAUAUGGUUAACACUUGAAAGGAAUGAUAAAUGGGAUUUAUUGUCUUUCAAUGUGGACCCAAACACCAAAUGGAAAGUUCACAAUUCUACUAACACAAUGCAGCAGAGAUAGUCCAACUGGCAUACCCUCAUCCUGGUUCCUGUUCAUCCAUGGCAAUAUAGAAAGAAAAGGAGGAUUGAGGGAAAGUAAGUUCUCUGAACUGGUGAACAUUAUCCGUAGGUACUGACAAGCGAACAGUUAUCACACUCUGUUAUGAGUAUUGAAGAAUAGGAUGAAAUUGCAAACUGCAUC